Molecule: transfer RNA, 97 nt
Filed under: Gemmatimonadota bacterium
Lineage: Bacteria; Pseudomonadati; Gemmatimonadota
Description: Gemmatimonadetes bacterium (groundwater metagenome) tRNA-Sec
Rfam family: Selenocysteine transfer RNA
Source: RNAcentral
GAGGGCGGAUCGGGCCUGGUGGCUCGACUAGUCUUCAAAACUAGCUGGCCUGGCUAAGACCCGGGCUGGUGGGUUCGAUUCCCACACGUCCUCGCCA